GUGUGGCACCCUUGCGUCAGUUGCUCUCAAAAACGAAGCAAACAGAUCGCCGGAGCUGGGCUAAGUGGGGCAGUCGCAGAGCGGGCAGAGGGAAGCGGGCAAAGCAAACUGGUUUACCUGAUUCCGAAUCCCAACUCGAAUCGAAGUCAAGUCGCAGUCGACGCCGCUGUCAACGGCUUCGUUGUUGGGCCGAGCUGGGAUAUGGACGGUUAUAUAAUCGCAACGGAGCGAGCGUAUAAUGGUUACGUUUUGCUAAAGCCAAUUAAACGAUUUGUUUUCGUUCCACAAAUUCACUUGGCCUGUGCGGCACAUUUGUGUGGCUCUGAAAAAUGUGUUUUUGUCCCGUUUGCCAUUUGUUGUUCGCCUCACUUGCCUUUUUGCGCUGCACCAAAUUCUAACACCUCGAUGUCAGCUUCCUGCACACUUCCGCAUCCCGGACAAAUUUUUUUCACACAUUUAUUUGCCCACCUGCCACACACAGAAGGGGCCAGAGUAAUAAAAAAACCAAACCAAAAUUUUGUUUGUUUACUGCUUUUUGUGUCACGCGCUGGCCUGCAGCCCCCGAAAAUAAAUUAAAUAAAUUAUUCAAUUGAAUUUAUUUAUUACCGACCAAUUUGGCCGCUCAACAGACUUUUGCAUUUGUGUAAUUAACGGCAGUUCGUGGAGAAUUGUGGAAUAUUGCGGACUAUUGCCCAGAUUGCAAAGGGUCUUUCGGCCAGGUCGCAAUAUUGCGAUCCGGUUCCAUCUGCCCAUCUGGCCAUCUGCCCACUCAGCCAAACAUCCUGGCCCAUCGUGGCCCUCGAGCGACGUCCGUUUGUUUGGCUUUUACUUUCGCGGCAUGUCAAUGACAUUGGCUUGGGCUCUUGAACCCAUUCAGCCGUCCAGGAGAACUCGAUGACCAAUGAAAAGGACUGAAAAAAACGUAUAGUGCACUUUAGGUGAUUUAAUGGGAAAAUUGCAUCUAAGAAUUCACCUGAACAUCAAACAUUUCGGAAUUUCUUCGAGUGCAACCUGCGUGUUGGCUGAACACAAAAGUAAUGGGCUCCUGAGGGCCUAACCUUGACCGAUGUGAUUACUUGAGAUUAUCGCAAGAGUAAACUGAUACUCCAAAAUGUGAAAGAAAUCCAGGCUCUUAAUUGGCCAAAAUCCAGUCUCAACAUGAAGAUGACUUGGUAGAAGUUAAAUUUAAAUGCCCAACAUAUGUCACGUUAUCGGUGAGAACAAAGGUCUUUGCAGAUAAUGAAAAGCGAUUUCCUUUAACGUUUCUGAUGUAAUUUUACUGCCGAAUUUGGAAUAUGAACUAUGAAAUUAAAUGACGGAUUCCCUAUUCCAAAACACCAUUAUUUUAGCUUAGCCCUCGUUUACACGCCAGUACUAGCAUCGAAAUUGACCGGAAGCCAGAGGCAGCCUCCACCUGGGAAAUAAAAAACGAAACGGAAAUGUUUGUGCAGCGCAGAAAUUUAAAAUAAAUAUUUGAAUUUUUCGAAACGUCGACACACGGGGGUUCACGGGUAUGCCAUUUCCAUUUGCAGUCCACGGUUUUCCCCACGUCUAACGUGAAUGCAAUUUUUGGCCUGGCUUUCGUUUUAACUUUGGCUGCCAUAAAUUGCACCAAAGUGCAGCUGCCCCGCCGGCAUGUAUUUAUUUAAAAGUGCUAAAAUAUUUGCAAAACGCUUCACAAUUGCAUUUUGCCCAGCACCGAUCACCAUUUCAUCCGCAUCCUUUCUACCACCUGCCGUGGGCGAGGAAUAUUUGGUGUGUGAACGCAAGAAACUAUGUAUGUGAGGAAAGGGCUGCGACGAGGAAGUGACUUUUUUGCCAGGACUAAAGGACCAGACUAACUGCUGAUGGCGGGCCACGUACACAUGUCGAAAACUAACUGCUGCCACCGCUGUCCUAGCCGCCGCUCCUCCCAUUCGACCCGUCGUCCCUUUCCGCCCUUCACCCUUCGGUCCUCGUCAUCAUCAGGAGCUGCAAAAAUUUCAGCCAUUUGUCCUGCAUGCUUGCGGCAUAAAAAUAUGCCAGGGCCAGCAUUUUCAUGCGGGUCAUCUCCUUGGAACUCCGAGCUCCCAGCUCCCAGCUCCAAACUCCCAAGCUCCAACUCCGAUUCCGGCUCCAAAUGCAGCUGCAGCGCCCGAAAGUCAGGCUACGUGUGUGUCUGUGCCCCAGAGAGUUUUCGGGUUUUUUUCGAGGCCGGCCUCUCAACUGCUGCAACUUUUUGGGGCAGGGCAAAAAUCACACAGAACUGGGCACAAAUAAAACUACUCCGAGGACUGCUAGUCCUCCUAGUGCUCCUACUGCUCCUAGUUGGCUGGAAAAUAACAAAGGGGCGAACGGACGGGGCGUUUAGCAAAUGGACUCUGGCCGAAAAUGCUGCUGGCACUUUCGCAAAACAUUCCGAAUACAAAUAAAAAUCCGAGGCAUGUGAGUCACAGCAGCAAUCAUUUCCAAUGCAAAAUAAAA
Long non-coding RNA from Drosophila simulans, 2463 nucleotides. RefSeq lists it as uncharacterized. The record is from RefSeq and is a predicted model, not a curated record. Lineage: Eukaryota; Metazoa; Arthropoda; Insecta; Diptera; Drosophilidae. The transcript is spliced from 3 exons.